RNAcentral lists this ribosomal RNA (253 nucleotides) under uncultured bacterium. RNAcentral's name for it is "partial 16S ribosomal RNA". It matches the Rfam family "Bacterial small subunit ribosomal RNA", at positions 524 to 776 of the family's 1533-position model. The record is from RNAcentral.
UACGGAGGGGGCUAGCGUUGUUCGGAAUUACUGGGCGUAAAGCGCACGUAGGCGGCUUUGCAAGUUAGAGGUGAAAGCCCGGGGCUCAACUCCGGAAUUGCCUUUAAAACUGCAUCGCUAGAAUUGUGGAGAGGUAAGUGGAAUUCCGAGUGUAGAGGUGAAAUUCGUAGAUAUUCGGAAGAACACCAGUGGCGAAGGCGGCAUCCUGGACCGGCAUUGACGCUGAGGAGCGAAAGCUAGGGGAGCAAACGGG